CUCUGUGUACACAUGAGACACAGGGCGGAAAGAG
This 34-nucleotide non-coding RNA is filed under the name Paenibacillus sp. IHBB 10380. Lineage: Bacteria; Bacillati; Bacillota; Bacilli; Caryophanales; Paenibacillaceae. The record is from RNAcentral.